AUGAUUCCAAUCCCGGGAAUUGGUCUGGAGGUCGGAGAGGCGGGAGGCUCCGUGCUGGCCGCGCUCCGGUCUCGGCACAUCCCAAACCGGAUCAUCCGGCCCCGCCGCCCUCCGGCACAGCCCCCGGGGAUCCGGCACAUCCCAGGGAACAGCCUCGGCCUCUCCCUUCAGCUUCACCUAAAAAAUCCUCCUCACUGGAACCAAACUCCCAAAUGGUGGCAAAACUCAUGGAAAACAGGAGCUAAAUCCAUGGUGUGCCUCCAACUGGGAUCAUCCCCGGGAGCACCUUCCCUGAGCGCCUGGAAACAGGAACCUGGAGCCGGGGGAGAGCCAAAAUUCCAGAGGCUGCCGGAGUGGGAUGAGCGGGGUCGGCUGGACCGGCCUUGGAACGCUUUCCAGGAAUCCCGGUGUGCCGGACGCGGCCUCACUCCGUCCCGACGGCGAUUCCCAACUCUCCGUGGGGACGCUGCUCCGGCACCACGCGCUCCCCGGCACGUUCCGCUGGCUCCGGGCGCUUCUCCCGCUCCGAAGGGCCCGGCAGGACGGGUUUGGCAUUCGCAGACAAACAAAGCAGCACCUCGUUUUCCAUGGAUAUUGGAUGCGGCGCCCACAGGGGAAAAAAAAAAUCCAGCCCAGAAAAAAAAACCAACUCCUCAGCGGGAGGAUUUGAAAAGCUGGAACGAGCCAGUUGGGCCAAAAGAAGGAAUAUUCCAGGAAAAAGUGGGAAUAUCCAGGGAGAGAUGCAGCCAGGAGGGAAAAUAUCCUGGGAUUUACCCAAUCCAGAACCAAGACUUGGCAGCACCAGGAGUUCAUUCCAGCUGGAGUUUAUCCAGGGAGGUCCCAGCCCCUUCCCAGCCUCCUUGGAGGGUUUUCCGUUGGGUCAAUCCCCACGUUGGUCUUCCAGCCCCAAUUCCCAGCCUCGGAGCCUCCGGAGCUCAUGGAGGGGCUGUAAUUCCUGAUCCAGGAGCAGGAAUGAUCCCUGACCCGCCAGGAACAAUCCCUGAUCCACAAGGAGCGAUCCCUGACCCGCCAGGAACAAUCCCUGAUCCACCAGGAGCGAUCCCUGACCCGCCAGGAACAAUCCCUGAUCCACCAGGAACAAUCCCUGAUNNNNNNNNNNCUGACCCGCCAGGAACAAUCCCUGAUCCACCAGGAACAAUCCCUGAUCCACCAGGAACAAUCCCUGAUCCACCAGGAACAAUCCCUGAUCCACAAGGAGCGAUCCCUGAUCCACAAGGAGCGAUCCCUGAUCCGCCAGGAACAAUCCCUGACCAACCAGGAACAAUCCCUGACCAACCAGGAACAAUCCCUGAUCCGCCAGGAACAAUCCCUGAUCCACAAGGAGCGAUCCCUGAUCCACAAGGAACAAUCCCUGAUCCACCAGGAGCGAUCCCUGACCCCCACGAGGGAUCCACGUGUCCCCAGUCCCGCGAGGUCUCCCCGGGGCCCUCCUGUUUCCCAAUCCCGCCGGGGCUGAGGUGGAUCCCUGGGAUCCAGGGGAGCGAGGAUGGGAAAUCAGGGCUAAACCAGCCCAGCUGCUCCUUGGGAAGCCUCUGGUAUUCCAUGGAAGAGGCGCCUGCAGUGGGCUCAGGGGACCCACAGCAUCUCCCAAUUUCCAUAUGGGGCUGGAAUGCCAGAAUUAAUCCCAGGGAAGACCCAGAAUCCAAUCCCAACGUGACCCUGACGCUCCACGGGGCAUCCAACCCCGGAGCCAAGGUGCUCCGAGCAGCUCCAGCUCCAUCCCAGUCGCUCCAAACCCAGGACAUCACUCGGAUGUGA
RNAcentral lists this long non-coding RNA (1779 nucleotides) under Chloebia gouldiae (Gouldian finch). Its description in RNAcentral is "Erythrura gouldiae (Gouldian finch) lncRNA (ENSEGOG00005017540.1)". Lineage: Eukaryota; Metazoa; Chordata; Aves; Passeriformes; Passeridae. The record is from RNAcentral.